Molecule: ribosomal RNA, 479 nt
Filed under: uncultured bacterium
Lineage: Bacteria
Description: bacterial SSU rRNA
Rfam family: Bacterial small subunit ribosomal RNA
Source: RNAcentral
ACCGUACUCCUACGGGAGGCAGCAGUGGGGAAUAUUGCGCAAUGGGGGCAACCCUGACGCAGCCAUGCCGCGUGAAUGAAGAAGGCCUUCGGGUUGUAAAGUUCUUUCGGUAGCGAGGAAGGCAUUUAGUUUAAUAGACUAGGUGAUUGACGUUAACUACAGAAGAAGCACCGGCUAACUCCGUGCCAGCAGCCGCGGUAAUACGGAGGGUGCGAGCGUUAAUCGGAAUAACUGGGCGUAAAGGGCACGCAGGCGGUGACUUAAGUGAGGUGUGAAGGCCCCGGGCUUAACCUGGGAAUUGCAUUUCAUACUGGGUCGCUAGAGUACUUUAGGGAGGGGUAGAAUUCCACGUGUAGCGGUAAAAUGCGUAGAGAUGUGGAGGAAUACCGAAGGCGAAGGCAGCCCCUUGGGAAUGUACUGACGCUUAUGUGCGAAAGCGUGGGGAGCAAACAGGAUUAGAAACCCCUGUAGUCCUUGAC